RNAcentral lists this ribosomal RNA (743 nucleotides) under Pseudomonas plecoglossicida. RNAcentral's name for it is "bacterial SSU rRNA". It matches the Rfam family "Bacterial small subunit ribosomal RNA", at positions 32 to 772 of the family's 1533-position model. Lineage: Bacteria; Pseudomonadati; Pseudomonadota; Gammaproteobacteria; Pseudomonadales; Pseudomonadaceae. The record is from RNAcentral.
GUGGCUUGGCGGCAGCCUACACAUGCAGUCGAGCGGAUGACGGGAGCUUGCUCCUUGAUUCAGCGGCGGACGGGUGAGUAAUGCCUAGGAAUCUGCCUGGUAGUGGGGGACAACGUUUCGAAAGGAACGCUAAUACCGCAUACGUCCUACGGGAGAAAGCAGGGGACCUUCGGGCCUUGCGCUAUCAGAUGAGCCUAGGUCGGAUUAGCUAGUUGGUGGGGUAAUGGCUCACCAAGGCGACGAUCCGUAACUGGUCUGAGAGGAUGAUCAGUCACACUGGAACUGAGACACGGUCCAGACUCCUACGGGAGGCAGCAGUGGGGAAUAUUGGACAAUGGGCGAAAGCCUGAUCCAGCCAUGCCGCGUGUGUGAAGAAGGUCUUCGGAUUGUAAAGCACUUUAAGUUGGGAGGAAGGGCAGUAAGCUAAUACCUUGCUGUUUUGACGUUACCGACAGAAUAAGCACCGGCUAACUCUGUGCCAGCAGCCGCGGUAAUACAGAGGGUGCAAGCGUUAAUCGGAAUUACUGGGCGUAAAGCGCGCGUAGGUGGUUCGUUAAGUUGGAUGUGAAAGCCCCGGGCUCAACCUGGGAACUGCAUCCAAAACUGGCGAGCUAGAGUACGGUAGAGGGUGGUGGAAUUUCCUGUGUAGCGGUGAAAUGCGUAGAUAUAGGAAGGAACACCAGUGGCGAAGGCGACCACCUGGAGUGAUACUCACACUGUUGGUGCGAAACGUGGGGAGCAAA